RNAcentral lists this ribosomal RNA (503 nucleotides) under uncultured bacterium. RNAcentral describes it as "partial 16S ribosomal RNA". It matches the Rfam family "Bacterial small subunit ribosomal RNA", at positions 30 to 523 of the family's 1533-position model. The record is from RNAcentral.
AUUGAACGCUGGCGGCAGGCUUAACACAUGCAAGUCGAGCGGGGUGAUGGUGCUUGCACUAUCACUUAGCGGCGGACGGGUGAGUAAUGCUUAGGAAUCUGCCUAUUAGUGGGGGACAACAUCUCGAAAGGGAUGCUAAUACCGCAUACGUCCUACGGGAGAAAGCAGGGGAUCACUUGUGACCUUGCGCUAAUAGAUGAGCCUAGGUCGGAUUAGCUGGUUGGUGGGGUAAAGGCCUACCAAGGCGACGAUCUGUAGCGGGUCUGAGAGGAUGAUCCGCCACACUGGGAAGGAGACACGGCCCAGACGCCUACGGGAGGCAGCAGUGGGGAAUAUUGGACAAUGGGGGGAACCCUGAUCCAGCCAUGCCGCGUGUGUGAAGAAGGCCUUAUGGGUGUAAAGCACUUUAAGCGAGGAGGAGGCUCUUUUGGUUAAUACCCAGAAUGAGUGGACGUUACUCGCAGAAUAAGCACCGGCUAACUCUGUGCCAGCCGCCGCAGUAA